RNAcentral lists this long non-coding RNA (332 nucleotides) under Populus trichocarpa (black cottonwood). RNAcentral describes it as "long non-coding RNA (PTRI_LNC000999)". Lineage: Eukaryota; Viridiplantae; Streptophyta; Magnoliopsida; Malpighiales; Salicaceae. The record is from RNAcentral.
CAUGAUAUGAUACUGCUUGUUGCUUGACUCUCCACCGUCAUCAGUCUCCUCUGUCCACCAUUCAUAAUAUCCUCCCGCAUCCCCACGCUCCAUCACUCCUCCCCACACUUGAGAAAGAGAGAGAGUAACACAGCUCGCAUUUUCUUUUUGUCAAUACAGUGUCGGUGGAGCUUCGAGUUCUCUGCCUUUUUGUUUUUGUUUUCGUUUUCUUGAAUUGAGGGAGGAUCAAAAGUAAGGUAAUUUACUAAAUUAAUACAAGAAGAAAGGGUGAAAUCUUAAGAAUAUGUACGGAAGAGAUCCAUGGGGAGGACCCCUGGAGAUAAAUGCAGCAG